GCCGUUGUCAACCCACACCCACUCGAAGAUUCAAAUAAAUCAUCAGAAAUUCGAAACCCUAGAUUUCUAAUUCCUCUCGAUUUCCACGAAUUCAAUGGAAAAUUCGACCCAGGAAUCUCACCCCCGCCCUGAAAAUGUCGUCACCUACGAAUCCCCCUUUCCAAUCUACGCCAUGGCCAUCUCCGCCGUGAACCGCCGCCGCGUCGCCGUCGGCAGCUUCAUCGAGGAGCUGAAGAACCGCGUCGACAUCCUCUCAUUCUCGGAAGAUUCGUCCUCUCUCAAGCCUGUCCCUUCUCUCUCCUUCGACCACCCUUACCCCCCCACGAAAUUACUCUUCCACCCCUCCGUCUCCGCCCCUUCCAACCUCCUCGCCUCCUCCGGCGACUUCCUCCGUCUCUGGGAGGUCAAGGACUCCUCAAUCGCGGCCGUCUCCACGCUCAACAACAGCAAAACCAGCGAGUACUCGGCUCCGCUGACCUCAUUCGACUGGAACGAGGUCGAGCCGCGGAGGAUCGGAACGUCGAGCAUCGACACGACCUGCACGAUUUGGGAUAUCGAGAAGGGCGUGGUGGAGACGCAGCUGAUCGCGCACGACAAGGAGGUUUACGACAUAGCUUGGGGCGAGGCUGGGGUUUUCGCGUCGGUUUCAGCGGACGGCUCCGUGAGAAUCUUCGAUUUGAGGGAUAAGGAGCAUUCGACGAUCAUCUACGAAAGCCCCAUGCCGGAUACGCCGUUGCUGAGAUUGGCUUGGAAUAAGCAGGAUUUGAGGUAUAUGGCGACGAUCUUGAUGGAUAGCAAUAAAAUUGUGAUAUUGGAUAUCAGGUCUCCGACAAUGCCGGUGGCGGAGCUGGAGAGGCAUAGUGCUAGUGUGAAUGCAAUUGCGUGGGCGCCGCAGAGUGCUAGGCAUAUUUGCUCUGCUGGGGACGAUGCCCAGGCUUUGCUUUGGGAGCUGCCCACGGUAGCUGGCCCCAAUGGGAUUGAUCCCAUGUCCAUGUACUCUGCCGGUGCAGAGAUUAACCAGCUGCAGUGGUCAGCCGCCCAGCCGGAUUGGAUUGCCGUUGCGUUUGCCAACAAGAUGCAAAUGCUCAAAGUUUGAGGUAUUGUUCUUUGCAAUCCGGGCUAAUAUGAUUGUUGGAACGAUUGUCUUAUGAUGAAUGAGGGAUCUCAGAAAUUGGAUUAAUACUACUAUGUUUCUUGAUUUUGUGAAGGACGAUGGAAUCGUACUGGCCUAGCCUCUUCGCCAAGCUUUGCGAGAAGAGGAACGUUGAUGAUCUCGUUAUGAACGUCUGCUCUGGUGGUGGUGCCACCAUCACUGUCACUGCUCCUACCGGUUGAGGAGAAGAAGGAAGAAGUCAAAGAGGAGAGCGAUGAUGACAUGGGACUAGGACUGUUUGAUUAGGACUUUACUGUGUUUAGUUAGUAUUAAUAUUUGGGCCACAGACUAAUUUGAGCUACAAAUAUAUCAAUAUAGAUGGGUUUUUUGGUUAUAUAGUUGUAUGCCCUUGUUUUUACAGAGCAGUAGUUAAAUUUACUAUUGAUUUUGAGUUAA
Salvia splendens (bonfire salvia) is the source of this 1549-nucleotide RNA transcript. It is a transcript of the gene named protein TRANSPARENT TESTA GLABRA 1, with no coding region annotated. Lineage: Eukaryota; Viridiplantae; Streptophyta; Magnoliopsida; Lamiales; Lamiaceae. The record is from RefSeq and is a predicted model, not a curated record. The transcript has 3 exons.